RNAcentral lists this transfer RNA (72 nucleotides) under Schistosoma japonicum. Its description in RNAcentral is "tRNA-OTHER". The record is from RNAcentral. Lineage: Eukaryota; Metazoa; Platyhelminthes; Trematoda; Strigeidida; Schistosomatidae.
GACUCAGUGGCCCAUCGGUAAAGCGUUCACCGCGGAGUCGAAGGGUCUUGGGUUCGACCCCCGAUGGGGUCG